This 227-nucleotide ribosomal RNA is filed under the name uncultured bacterium. RNAcentral's name for it is "partial 16S ribosomal RNA". It matches the Rfam family "Archaeal small subunit ribosomal RNA", at positions 474 to 702 of the family's 1478-position model. The record is from RNAcentral.
UACCAGCACCCCGAGUGGUCGGGACGAUUAUUGGGCCUAAAGCAUCCGUAGCCGGUCAUGCAAGUCUUCCGUUAAAUCCAGCCGCUCAACGGUUGGGCUGCGGAGGAUACUACGUGGCUAGGAGGCGGGAGAGGCAAGCGGUACUCAGUGGGUAGGGGUAAAAUCCUUUGAUCCAUUGAGGACCACCAGUGGCGAAGGCGGCUUGCCAGAACGCGGCUAGCGGACGG